GCUAGUAAUCGCGAAUCAGAAUGUCGCGGUGAAUACGUUCCCGGGCCUUGUACACACCGCCCGUCACACCAUGAGGGUCGAUAACACCCGAAGCCUGUGAGCUAACCUUUUAGGAGGCAGCAGUCGAAGGUGGGGUUGAUGAUUGGGGUGAAGUCGUAACAAGGUAUC
RNAcentral lists this ribosomal RNA (168 nucleotides) under uncultured bacterium. Its description in RNAcentral is "partial 16S ribosomal RNA". It matches the Rfam family "Bacterial small subunit ribosomal RNA", at positions 1334 to 1500 of the family's 1533-position model. The record is from RNAcentral.